GGCCUAACACAUGCAAGUCGAGCGGAAACGAGUUAUCUGAACCUUCGGGGAACGAUAACGGCGUCGAGCGGCGGACGGGUGAGUAAUGCCUGGGAAAUUGCCCUGAUGUGGGGGAUAACCAUUGGAAACGAUGGCUAAUACCGCAUGAUGCCUACGGGCCAAAGAGGGGGACCUUCGGGCCUCUCGCGUCAGGAUAUGCCUAGGUGGGAUUAGCUAGUUGGUGAGGUAAGGGCUCACCAAGGCGACGAUCCCUAGCUGGUCUGAGAGGAUGAUCAGCCACACUGGAACUGAGACACGGUCCAGACUCCUACGGGAGGCAGCAGUGGGGAAUAUUGCACAAUGGGCGCAAGCCUGAUGCAGCCAUGCCGCGUGUGUGAAGAAGGCCUUCGGGUUGUAAAGUACUUUCAGUCGUGAGGAAGGUGUUGUCGUUAAUAGCGGCUGUGUUUGACGUUAGCGACAGAAGAAGCACCGGCUAACUCCGUGCCAGCAGCUGCGGUAAUACGGAGGGUGCGAGCGUUAAUCGGAAUUACUGGGCGUAAAGCGCAUGCAGGUGGUUUGUUAAGUCAGAUGUGAAAGCCCGGGGCUCAACCUCGGAAUAGCAUUUGAAACUGGCAGACUAGAGUACUGUAGAGGGGGGUAGAAUUUCAGGUGUAGCGGUGAAAUGCGUAGAGAUCUGAAGGAAUACCGGUGGCGAAGGCGGCCCCCUGGACAGAUACUGACGCUCAGAUGCGAAAGCGUGGGGAGCAAACAGGAUUAGAUACCCUGGUAGUCCACGCCGUAAACGAUGUCUACUUGGAGGUUGUGGCCUUGAGCCGUGGCUUUCGGAGCUAACGCGUUAAGUAGACCGCCUGGGGAGUACGGUCGCAAGAUUAAAACUCAAAUGAAUUGACGGGGGCCCGCACAAGCGGUGGAGCAUGUGGUUUAAUUCGAUGCAACGCGAAGAACCUUACCUACUCUUGACAUCCAGAGAACUUUCCAGAGAUGGAUUGGUGCCUUCGGGAACUCUGAUACAGGGCUGCAUGGCUGUCGUCAGCUCGUGUUGU
RNAcentral lists this ribosomal RNA (1043 nucleotides) under Vibrio alginolyticus. RNAcentral describes it as "bacterial SSU rRNA". It matches the Rfam family "Bacterial small subunit ribosomal RNA", at positions 45 to 1068 of the family's 1533-position model. Lineage: Bacteria; Pseudomonadati; Pseudomonadota; Gammaproteobacteria; Vibrionales; Vibrionaceae. The record is from RNAcentral.